RNAcentral lists this ribosomal RNA (424 nucleotides) under uncultured bacterium. Its description in RNAcentral is "partial 16S ribosomal RNA". It matches the Rfam family "Bacterial small subunit ribosomal RNA", at positions 360 to 776 of the family's 1533-position model. The record is from RNAcentral.
AAUCUUCCGCAAUGGACGAAAGUCUGACGGAGCAACGCCGCGUGAGCGAAGAAGGCCUUCGGGUCGUAAAGCUCUUUUGUUAGGGAAGAACAAGUACGCGAGUAACGGCUCGUACCUUGACGGUACCUAACCAGAAAGCCACCGCUCACUACGUCCCAGCAGCCGCGGUAACACGUAGGUGGCAAGCGUUGCCCGGAAUUAUUGGGCGUAACGCGCGCGCAGGCGGUCCCUUAAGUCUGAUGUGAAAGCCCACGGCUCAACCGUGGAGGGUCAUUGGAAACUGGGGGACUUGAGUGCAGAAGAGGAGAGUGGAAUUCCACGUGUAGCGGUGAAAUGCGUAGAGAUGUGGAGGAACACCAGUGGCGAAGGCGACUCUCUGGUCUGUAACUGACGCUGAGGCGCGAAAGCGUGGGGAGCAAACAGG